This 472-nucleotide ribosomal RNA is filed under the name uncultured bacterium. RNAcentral's name for it is "bacterial SSU rRNA". It matches the Rfam family "Bacterial small subunit ribosomal RNA", at positions 27 to 507 of the family's 1533-position model. The record is from RNAcentral.
GGGUGAACGCUAGCUACAGGCUUAACACAUGCAAGUCGAGGGGCAGCACAGUGUAGCAAUACAGUGGGUGGCGACCGGCGCACGGGUGCGUAACGCGUAUCCAACCUUCCCGUUACUCUUGGAUAGCCUUCCGAAAGGGAGAUUAAUACCCUGAUGGUGUUUGAAUUCCGCAUGUUAUUCAAACUAAAGAUUUAUCGGUAACGGAUGGGGAUGCGUGACAUUAGGUAGAUGGCGGGGUAACGGCCCACCAUGCCUACGAUGUCUAGGGGUUCUGAGAGGAAGGUCCCCCACACUGGGACUGAGAUACGGCCCAGACUCCUACGGGAGGCAGCAGUGGGGAAUAUUGGGCAAUGGGCGAAAGCCUGACCCAGCAACGCCGCGUGAAGGAAGAAGGCCUUCGGGUUGUAAACUUCUUUUACCAGGGACGAACACAAUGACGGUACCUGGAGAAAAAGCAACGGCUAACUACGUG